This 465-nucleotide ribosomal RNA is filed under the name uncultured bacterium. Its description in RNAcentral is "partial 16S ribosomal RNA". It matches the Rfam family "Bacterial small subunit ribosomal RNA", at positions 29 to 507 of the family's 1533-position model. The record is from RNAcentral.
AAUGAACGUUGGCGGCGUGGAUUAGGCAUGCAAGUCGAGCGAGAACCCCGCAAGGGGGGACAGCGGCGAAAGGGACAGUAAUGUGUAGAUUAUCUGCCCUCAGGUCCGGGAUAGCUGCGGGAAACUGCAGGUAAUACCGGAUAACAUCUCCGGAUCAAAGGUGUGAUUCCGCCUGAGGAUGAGUCUGCAUCCUAUUAGCUAGUUGGUGGGGUAAUGGCCUACCAAGGCAUUGAUGGGUAGCAGGUGUGAGAGCACGACCUGCGUCAUUGGGACUGAGACACUGCCCAGACACCUACGGGGGGCUGCAGUCGAGAAUCGUCGGCAAUGGGCGCAAGCCUGACCGAGCGACGCCGCGUGUGGGAUGAAGGCCUUCGGGUUGUAAACCACUGUCAGAGGGGAUGAAAUGCAGGUGGGUUCUCCCAUCUGUUUGACAUAGCCUCAGAGGAAGGACGGGCUAAGUUCGUG